RNAcentral lists this long non-coding RNA (660 nucleotides) under Lupinus angustifolius (narrow-leaved blue lupine). RNAcentral's name for it is "long non-coding RNA (LANG_LNC003144)". Lineage: Eukaryota; Viridiplantae; Streptophyta; Magnoliopsida; Fabales; Fabaceae. The record is from RNAcentral.
GUGUGAACAAUAGGAAUGUCUUGGUUGUGCUGCUUCAUUCCAUAUAGUCCAUCAUUCAUGCUAGCUACACCAAUUAUCCUCAAGGAAUGGAGUUCCUGAAUUUGGCAGUGAAUAUUUGAGAAAAUCAACUUACAAGAUAAAGAGCUAGUGAGUUUUGAAAUAGAGAUCAGGUUGAAUUUAAAUGCAGGCAAGUAUAACACAUCAUUUAGAUAAAGAUCAGCAGAGAACACUAUUGUACCAGCAUAGUGAGCAAUUAAAUUGUCUCCAUUGGGUAAUCUGAUUGAUAUUGGUCUGAUUUAUUUAAAAGAUUGAAAUCUUGACAAAGAGCAAUACACAUGAUUUGUGGCUCCUGUAUCAAGGAUCCAACAAUCAGAUUUCCCAAAGAUGGGUUGAAUGUUGAUAAUACCUGAGGUGUCCUAAUGCAGUGGUGCAGCCACUAUAUGGUUUGCAUUGUGACGUCGUGUGUUGGUGGAUUGUUCCAGCAGAGAUGCAAGAGCUCUGUGUUGCUCAUGAGUGAGUCCCAAGACUGCUCAAGCUUUUGUAUCCUUGGAUGAUGAAUCAUGAUCUUUGUUGGCUCCUUUAUCAACCUCUGCUGAUUCUUGAGUCAUGUAGAUAUUGAUAUUUCCAGAAUUGGAGAAAUAAUUUGGUGGGAAACCAUGC